UUUCAUUUCUCUCAUGGCGAAUCCAAAGCAAUCGACGAUCUCCUCCGGUAGCCAAGCCGGUUACAACGACGAGAUCCAGCGUUGAUAUUAAUCGAGUAAUUGUUUAACCGAUUGAAAUGUAGCUAUACCUCUUUUAUCGCCGUUGAUUUUCAUCGCUGGAAUCUAGCAAUUUAACGGCAGCGAUAAAUUCAAUUUUCGGUAGUAAGGAGGAGGUGAAGAAGGAGAAAUCGCCUGAAGUUUUGGUGUUUCCGAAGUGGCAACAUCCUGUGACGCCGUUAUGCUAAGAGGCAAUGACUCCGUAAUGUCGUUUGUAUAAUGUUCGGGUAGAUCGGUGAUGAAAUCAAUCUAAUUUUGAUUUAUUUUGAACUUUUUACUUCAUUUUAUGGCGGAUAUCAAGUAUACCAGUACGUUUUUUGGUGACCGUCGGCGACCAAGCCGGUUGCAAGGGCGAGCUCCAGCGUCGAUACAAAUAAAUUAUGCAUCGAUUGGAAUGAGGCUAUACCUCUUCUAUAACUGUUGAUUUCAUAGCUGUAUCUAGCAAUUUAACGGCAGCGAUAAGUUAAAUUUCCAGCAGUAAGGAGUAGGUGAAGGAGAAAUUGCCGGCAGUUUUGGUGUUUCCGAAGUGGCAACAUCCCGUGACGCCGUCAUUCUAUGAGGCAACGACUUUGUAAGUGCCGUUUGUAAAAUGUUCGGGAAGUAUAGAUCGGUGAUGAAAACAAUCUAAUAGUGAUUUAUUUUGAACGUUUUACUUCGUUUUAUGGCGGAUAUCAAGCAAGCCAGUACAUUUUCUGGUGACCAGCAGCGACCGAGCAGGUUGCAAUGGCGAGCUCCAGCGUCGAUACAAAUAAAUUGUGCAACCGAUUGGAAUUUUCUGAUAGUAAGGAGGAGGUAAAGAAGGAGAAAUCACCAGCAGUUUUGGUGUUUAAGAAGUGGCAACAUCCAGAGAGAAAACAACCUCUCCACCUCUCCAAGAAUCAUAAAUAUCAUUCUUGCUAAUGUUGCGAAAUCUUUGAGGGAACUGAACAAAUGCAAGUGAGGGAGAGAUUUUGGGAUCAAG
Solanum tuberosum (potato) is the source of this 1057-nucleotide long non-coding RNA. RefSeq lists it as uncharacterized. The transcript is spliced from 3 exons. The record is from RefSeq and is a predicted model, not a curated record. NCBI's taxonomy places the organism in Eukaryota, Viridiplantae, Streptophyta, Magnoliopsida, Solanales, Solanaceae.